This 427-nucleotide ribosomal RNA is filed under the name uncultured Pseudoxanthomonas sp. RNAcentral's name for it is "bacterial SSU rRNA". It matches the Rfam family "Bacterial small subunit ribosomal RNA", at positions 355 to 774 of the family's 1533-position model. The record is from RNAcentral. Lineage: Bacteria; Pseudomonadati; Pseudomonadota; Gammaproteobacteria; Lysobacterales; Lysobacteraceae.
UGGGGAAUAUUGGACAAUGGGCGCAAGCCUGAUCCAGCCAUACCGCGUGGGUGAAGAAGGCCUUCGGGUUGUAAAGCCCUUUUGUUGGGAAAGAAAUCCUAUCGAUUAAUACUCGGUGGGGAUGACGGUACCCAAAGAAUAAGCACCGGCUAACUUCGUGCCAGCAGCCGCGGUAAUACGAAGGGUGCAAGCGUUACUCGGAAUUACUGGGCGUAAAGCGUGCGUAGGUGGUGGUUUAAGUCUGUCGUGAAAGCCCUGGGCUCAACCUGGGAAUUGCGAUGGAUACUGGAUCACUAGAGUGUGGUAGAGGGAUGCGGAAUUUCCGGUGUAGCAGUGAAAUGCGUAGAGAUCGGAAGGAACAUCUGUGGCGAAGGCGGCAUCCUGGGCCAACACUGACACUGAGGCACGAAAGCGUGGGGAGCAAACA